Molecule: ribosomal RNA, 966 nt
Filed under: Typhlocharis silvanoides
Lineage: Eukaryota; Metazoa; Arthropoda; Insecta; Coleoptera; Carabidae
Description: partial 18S ribosomal RNA
Source: RNAcentral
ACGGCCAUGCACCACCACCCACCGAAUCAAGAAAGAGCUCUCAAUCUGUCAAUCCUUCCGGUGUCCGGGCCUGGUGAGAUUUCCCGUGUUGAGUCAAAUUAAGCCGCAGGCUCCACUCCUGGUGGUGCCCUUCCGUCAAUUCCUUUAAGUUUCAGCUUUGCAACCAUACUUCCCCCGGAACCCAAAAGCUUUGGUUUCCCGGAAGCUGCCCGCCGAGUCAUCGGAGGAACGUCGGCGGAUCGCUAGCUGGCAUCGUUUAUGGUCAGAACUAGGGCGGUAUCUGAUCGCCUUCGAACCUCUGACUUUCGUUCUUGAUUAAUGAAAACAUUUUUGGCAAAUGCUUUCGCUUCUGUCCGUCUUGCGACGAUCCAAGAAUUUCACCUCUAACGUCGCAAUACGAAUGCCCCCAUCUGUCCCUAUUAAUCAUUACCUCGGGGUUCCGAAAACCAACAAAAUAGAACCGAGGUCCUGUUCCAUUAUUCCAUGCACACAGUAUUCAGGCGAAAUUUUAGCCUGCUUUGAGCACUCUAAUUUGUUCAAAGUAAACGUGCCGGCCCGCCUCGACACUCAAUUAAGAGCACCGCGACAGGAUUAUUGAGUCGGAUGGUAGAACACCUGCAACCCCACCACAUCAUACAGUAACAACCGGAGUUGCACACGCACAAUGGGGAAGAAUACAGGGUCUACGCAUCCACCGGCAGGACGUUCCGCGGACGUGCCAGUUAAACACCGCGGGCGGUGAACCGACAGCGCGGAACACAAGUUCAACUACGAGCUUUUUAACCGCAACAACUUUAAUAUACGCUAUUGGAGCUGGAAUUACCGCGGCUGCUGGCACCAGACUUGCCCUCCAAUUGCUAAUUGUUAAAGGAUUUAAAGUGUACUCAUUCCGAUUACGGGGCCUCGGAUGAGUCCCGUAUCGUUAUUUUUCGUCACUACCUCCCCGUGCCGGGAGUGGGUAAUUUG